UACGAAGGGUGCAAGCGUUGCUCGGAAUUAUUGGGCGUAAAGGGUGCGUAGGCGGCGCGGUAAGUCGGGUGUGAAAUCUUGGAGCUUAACUCCGAAACUGCAUUCGAUACUGCCGUGCUUGAGGACUGGAGAGGAGACUGGAAUUUACGGUGUAGCGGUGAAAUGCGUAGAUAUCGUAAGGAAGACCAGUGGCGAAGGCGGGUCUCUGGACAGUUCCUGACGCUGAGGCACGAAGGUCAGGGGAGCAAACAGG
Molecule: ribosomal RNA, 253 nt
Filed under: uncultured bacterium
Lineage: Bacteria
Description: partial 16S ribosomal RNA
Rfam family: Bacterial small subunit ribosomal RNA
Source: RNAcentral